GGCCAGCAGCCGCGGUAAUACGGAGGGUGCGAGCGUUGUCCGGAAUCACUGGGCGUAAAGGGCGCGUAGGCGGCCCGGCAAGUCAACGGUGAAAGCUUGGGGCUCAACCCCGAGUCGGCCGUCGAUACUUCCGGGCUCGAGCACUGUAGAGGCAGGUGGAAUUCCGGGUGUAGCGGUGGAAUGCGUAGAGAUCCGGAAGAACACCGGUGGCGAAGGCGGCCUGCUGGGCAGUAGCUGACGCUGAGGCGCGACAGCGUGGGGAGCAAACAGGAUUAGAUACCCUGGUAGUCCACGCCGUAAACGAUGGGCACUAGGUGCUUGGGGGAGCGACCCCCUGAGUGCCGGCGCUAACGCAUUAAGUGCCCCGCCUGGGGAGUACGGCCGCAAGGCUGAAACUCAAAGGAAUUGACGGGGGCCCGCACAAGG
Molecule: ribosomal RNA, 426 nt
Filed under: uncultured bacterium
Lineage: Bacteria
Description: bacterial SSU rRNA
Rfam family: Bacterial small subunit ribosomal RNA
Source: RNAcentral